RNAcentral lists this ribosomal RNA (516 nucleotides) under uncultured bacterium. RNAcentral describes it as "bacterial SSU rRNA". It matches the Rfam family "Bacterial small subunit ribosomal RNA", at positions 10 to 518 of the family's 1533-position model. The record is from RNAcentral.
AGUUGAUCAUGGCUCAGGAUGAACGCUAGCGACAGGCUAACACAUGCAAGUCGAGGGGCAGCACGGGAGUAGCAAUACAACUGGUGGCGACCGGCGCACGGGUGAGUAACGCGUAUGCAACCUACCUAUCAGAGGGGAAUAACCCGGCGAAAGUCGGACUAAUACCGCAUAAAACAGGGGCACCGCAUGGUGAUAUUUGUUAAAGAGAUUCGCUGAUAGAUGGGCAUGCGUUCCAUUAGGUAGUUGGUGAGGUAACGGCUCACCAAGCCGACGAUGGAUAGGGGAACUGAGAGGUUGGUCCCCCACACUGGUACUGAGACACGGACCAGACUCCUACGGGAGGCAGCAGUGAGGAAUAUUGGUCAAUGGGCGGGAGCCUGAACCAGCCAAGUCGCGUGAAAGGAAGAAGGAUCUAUGGUUCGUAAACUUCUUUUGCAGGGGAAUAAAGUGCAGGACGUGUCCUGUUUUGUAUGUACCCUGAGAAUAAGGAUCGGCUAACUCCGUGCCAGCAGCCGC